AAAAAAAGAGAGAGAGAGAAAAAAAAAAAAAGGCUAAUUUAAUUUGGGAAGAAAAGGAUACAACUUGACAACAUUUAUGUACAUUUUACAUUUGUGGUAAAAGCAGGAUGACCAAGAUAAAAACUGUCAUGAGAAAAUGUCUUCCUUCCCAAGGCUGCAAAUGCCCCCCCCUUCCCUGCGCUAGCCCAACUCCAUAGGCAGUGGCCAAGCAGAAGAAUCACUGAAGGCAGCUCUGCUCAGUCUGUGCUGAGUAAUAUUUCUCUAAUGAGGAAAGUAACAUCAUUUAGUGUAUUUGAGGUUGGGAAAAUUUUCUGUCCCUAUUCUUGAUAUAUUAAUUAAAUACUUGUCAUGUUUAUCCACUUGGAGAAAAGACACAGGGCACUUCCAGAUUUACUUUAAUGGGCUACAUAUGGGUUUUCAGAGCACUAAUAAAGGACGAUUUACUGGAGCCUGAUACUAUGUGGCAGAGGACAACUUGAGUCAGAAGGAGUCAAAAUGGAGCAGCCAGGGUGGUAAGGGACAUCCUAGUUGAAAGCAGAGAUGACAGCGGUGGAAUUCCAAAGCUUCAGCAAAGCCUGCUUCCAUAUGGUGCCUCAGGACACACAAACACAUCGAUACGGGAAGAUAAAACCUCCUGACAUUACAAAGCCAUUUGGUCAGAAGACCUGCUGGCUGACUGCUGAUGUUGGACGCUCACCCACUGUGGGCACAAAUACUAGGACUAUGAAGACAUCUGUGUGCACUGUGUCCCUGUCUGUGUAUCCCAUGUAGCUGAGCCCCUGCUUGGUGAGUUACGGUCUCCUGGGGCCCUGAAAACCACAGGAGGAGCAGGAUGGAGUCAUGGUGGCCAUCCAUCUCCAUUGCUCCCUUCUUUGCAGAUGGACUUCUCUGGUAGUAGCUGUGCACUGGACUUUCUGCCCUGUGUUCGCAGGGGAGAUGUCUGCCCUCUACACAGCUCCAGGCCAGGGUAGGGCAAAAAUGAGAUCACAAGGGCUUCAGAAAUCCCUGAGAAGAUAAAAAGAAGUACACUAUUUCAACCAAAUACAAAUAUUUAAUUAAUUGAACAAAGUUGUUAUUUAAGAGCAUUGAAGGGAGCUAUCUAGGGAGCUAUUGAUCUUGCACACUUCUUUCAAAACUCUUCUGUAAAAAAAAAAAAAAAAAAAAAAAAAAGGUUCAAAGGAGGUCCCCUUUUUCCUGUCAUCUGGUUAUGAUUCGCCUAAA
This 1221-nucleotide long non-coding RNA is filed under the name Anas platyrhynchos platyrhynchos (common mallard). Its description in RNAcentral is "lncRNA (ENSAPLG00000017447.1)". Lineage: Eukaryota; Metazoa; Chordata; Aves; Anseriformes; Anatidae. The record is from RNAcentral.